UUUAAGCAGAUAUUGUAAUUUCUUCACUUUUAAAAAAAAAAAUCUCUAAGUUUAUAUGUGAGAGUUCUCUUAAUCAAUUUUGAAUAUAUAAUCACUAUCUCACAAUUUUUUAUACGUUUUCAUGUUUGUAGAAAUAAAAAUAAAAAACAAAAAAAGUGACAAUUUUAUAAUUAAAAAAAAAACUUUUUCUCAAAAUACCUUCAACCUUACCCCUAAUUCUCCUUCCCCACCCCCGCUCCUUUUCUAUGUUUAUAUUUGUUCUCAUUUAAUUUAUCAUUCUUUAGAUUUUAACUCUGUUUUGUAUUUCUAUAACUCAC
Molecule: long non-coding RNA, 317 nt
Filed under: Vigna radiata
Lineage: Eukaryota; Viridiplantae; Streptophyta; Magnoliopsida; Fabales; Fabaceae
Description: long non-coding RNA (VRAD_LNC005933)
Source: RNAcentral